CUUGCAAACUGGAGAUGGCGACCGGCGCACGGGUGAGUAACACGUAUCCAACCUGCCGAUAACUCGGGGAUAGCCUUUCGAAAGAAAGAUUAAUAUCCGAUGGUAUAUUAAAACCGCAUGGUUUUACUAUUAAAGAAUUUCGGUUAUCGAUGGGGAUGCGUUCCAUUAGUUUGUUGGCGGGGUAACGGCCCACCAAGACUACGAUGGAUAGGGGUUCUGAGAGGAAGGUCCCCCACAUUGGAACUGAGACACGGUCCAA
This 259-nucleotide ribosomal RNA is filed under the name uncultured bacterium. RNAcentral's name for it is "partial 16S ribosomal RNA". It matches the Rfam family "Bacterial small subunit ribosomal RNA", at positions 75 to 334 of the family's 1533-position model. The record is from RNAcentral.